AAAAUAAAUAAAUAAACAAACAAACAACAACUUCUCAAGUAGAAACUCUACCAAUAAUUUUUUCUAAGUAUAUUUAUUUGUUUAAAUAUAAUUUUUCUUUGCCUAUUCAUAAAAUAUAAAGCAUUGGUUGGGAUUGUUGUGGUGCAACUUCACUUACCGUGCAAGAUUGGUUGAUAAGGUUUCCAUCAAAUCACUAAAGUACAUCACACAUCUAAACAUUCAAAAUGCCAUUUUCCUUUUCUCAUUAAUAAAACCAAAAUUGUAAAAACCUUUUUCUAAUGUACAAUCACUUUUGCAAGCAAUCAUGGAUCAUGCUUGUUGCUGCCUCACUGUUCACAAACAAGAUCCCAAAUUUAAUUGGGUGAAAACUACAAAGGGAUGGCUCUCAAUUUAUUUGGAAUAUUUAUAUGGUUAAGAUCACUUUACAACCUCCUCCUUUUUUGUGCAUUUUCUAGCCACAUUUUUGUACAUACUUAAAUUCAAAAGACUCAAAUUCAUCACAUCAUCAGUACAAGAAACUGAUAAGAAAUGAAGCAGCAACUUCAGAUAAUAAACUUACGUGCAAGUCCAACUCCAGUAAUAGUUACAUUGUUGCCAAGCGUUAUAGAGUUAAUAUAGACUCUGUCAUGACAAGCAGCACCAACAGUGAAGAUCCAUGGACUGAAGGAAGACAUGCUCUUUGGCGAUGGUCCGGUAUUGCCUGCUGCUUGCACAACAAAAAUGCCAGCCUUCACAGCUGAGAGCAAAGCCAUGUCUAUGGGAUUAAAAAAUGU
Molecule: unclassified non-coding RNA, 773 nt
Filed under: Hevea brasiliensis (rubber tree)
Lineage: Eukaryota; Viridiplantae; Streptophyta; Magnoliopsida; Malpighiales; Euphorbiaceae
Source: RNAcentral